This 236-nucleotide ribosomal RNA is filed under the name uncultured bacterium. Its description in RNAcentral is "partial 16S ribosomal RNA". It matches the Rfam family "Bacterial small subunit ribosomal RNA", at positions 15 to 244 of the family's 1533-position model. The record is from RNAcentral.
GAUCAUGGCUCAGGAUGAACGCUGGCGGCGUGCUUAACACAUGCAAGUCGAACGGACUUUAUAUGAAGCCUAGCGAUUAUAAAGUUAGUGGCGGACGGGUGAGUAACGCGUGGGUAACCUGCCCUGUACAGGGGGAUAACAGCUGGAAACGGCUGCUAAUACCGCAUAAGCGCACGAGGAGACAUCUCCUAGUGUGAAAAACUCCGGUGGUACAGGAUGGGCCCGCGUCUGAUUAG